UACGGAGGGUGCGAGCGUUGUCCGGAAUCACUGGGCGUAAAGGGCGCGUAGGCGGCGCGGGAAGUCAUCGGUGAAAGUUCAGGGCUCAACUCUGAAUCGGCCGGUGAUACUCUCGUGCUCGAGCACUGUAGAGGCAGGUGGAAUUCCGGGAGUAGCGGUGGAAUGCGUAGAGAUCCGGAAGAACACCGGUGGCGAAGGCGGCCUGCUGGGCAGUAGCUGACGCUGAUGCGCGACAGCGUGGGGAGCAAACAGG
RNAcentral lists this ribosomal RNA (253 nucleotides) under uncultured bacterium. RNAcentral's name for it is "partial 16S ribosomal RNA". It matches the Rfam family "Bacterial small subunit ribosomal RNA", at positions 524 to 776 of the family's 1533-position model. The record is from RNAcentral.